RNAcentral lists this RNase P RNA (368 nucleotides) under Paucilactobacillus nenjiangensis. Its description in RNAcentral is "Bacterial RNase P class B". It matches the Rfam family "Bacterial RNase P class B". From Rfam's summary of the family: Ribonuclease P (RNase P) is a ubiquitous endoribonuclease, found in archaea, bacteria and eukarya as well as chloroplasts and mitochondria. Its best characterised activity is the generation of mature 5'-ends of tRNAs by cleaving the 5'-leader elements of precursor-tRNAs. Lineage: Bacteria; Bacillati; Bacillota; Bacilli; Lactobacillales; Lactobacillaceae. The record is from RNAcentral.
UUUCGGGUGAUUGCGGCUGACUUAUGUCAGUUGAGGAAAGUCCAUGCUCGCACAGGCUGAGAUGCUUGUAGUGUUCGUGCUCGGUGAAAAAAUAAGCCGGGGGACCAGCAAUGGUUACGGCGAGUAAAAUGGCUAAGGCUUCGGCUAUGCUUGAGUAACUCUGAAAGUGCCACAGUGACGAAGCAAUAUUGGAAACGGUAUUGAUGGAACGCGGUAAACCCCUCGAGCGGGAAACCCAAACUUUGGUAGGGGAGCUUCACAUAAGGAACUGAACUGAUUGUGGGGGGAGACAGCAAUGUCUCGAGAUAGAUGAUUGCCACUGUACAAUUGAGCCUGAAAAUUGUACUUCGACAUAACAUGGCUUACAG